UGCAAGUCGAACGAAGUAGCAAUACUUAGUGGCAGACGGGUGAGUAACAUGUAGGUACCUACCCUAUGGCCUGGAAUAACACGAGGAAACUUGUGCUAAUACCGGAUAAGUCUUUACAGAGAAAGCUUUAUGCACCAUUGGACGAGCCUGCACUUGAUUAGUUUGUUGGUGGGGUAAUGGCCUACCAAGACUGUGAUCAAUAGCUGAUUUGAGAGGAUGAUCAGCCACAUUGGGACUGAGACACGGCCCAAACUCCUACGGGAGGCAGCAGUGGGGAAUCUUGCACAAUGGAGGAAACUCUGAUGCAGCGAUGCCGCGUGAGUGAAGAAGGCCUUUGGGUUGUAAAGCUCUUUCGUCGGGGAAGAAAAUGACUGUACCCGAAUAAGAAGGUCCGGCUAACUUCGUGCCAGCAGCCGCGGUAAUACGAAGGGACCUAGCGUAGUUCGGAAUUACUGGGCUUAAAGAGUUCGUAGGUGGUUGAAAAAGUUGGUGGUGAAAUCCCAGAGCUUAACUCUGGAACUGCCAUCAAAACUUUUCAGCUAGAGUAUGAUAGAGGAAAGCAGAAUUUCUAGUGUAGAGGUGAAAUUCGUAGAUAUUAGAAAGAAUACCAAUUGCGAAGGCAGCUUUCUGGAUCAUUACUGACACUGAGGAACGAAAGCAUGGGUAGCGAAGAGGAUUAGAUACCCUCGUAGUCCAUGCCGUAAACGAUGUGUGUUAGACGUUGGAAAUUUAUUUUCAGUGUCGCAGUGAAAGCGAUAAACACACCGCCUGGGGAGUACGACCGCAAGGUUAAAACUCAAAUGAAUUGACGGGGACCCGCACAAGUAGUGGAGCAUGUGGUUUAAUUCGAAGAUACGCGCAGAACCUUACCAACACUUGACAUGUUCGUCGCGACUUUAAGAGAUUAAAGUUUUCGGUUCGGCCGGACGAAACACAGG
Molecule: ribosomal RNA, 938 nt
Filed under: uncultured bacterium
Lineage: Bacteria
Description: bacterial SSU rRNA
Rfam family: Bacterial small subunit ribosomal RNA
Source: RNAcentral